GACGAACGCUGGCGGCGUGCUUAACACAUGCAAGUCGAACGGAAAGGCCCUGCUUUUGUGGGGUGCUCGAGUGGCGAACGGGUGAGUAACACGUGAGUAACCUGCCUUUGACUUUGGGAUAACUUCAGGAAACUGGGGCUAAUACCGGAUAGGAGCUCCUGCUGCAUGGUGGGGGUUGGAAAGUUUCGGCGGUUGGGGAUGGACUCGCGGCUUAUCAGCUUGUUGGUGGGGUAGUGGCUUACCAAGGCUUUGACGGGUAGCCGGCCUGAGAGGGUGACCGGCAACAUUGGGGCUGAGAAACGGCGCAGACUCUCCCGGGGGGCAGCAGUGCGGAAUAUAGCCCACUGGGCGGAAGCCUGAUGCAGCAACGCCGCGUGCGGGAGGACGGCCUUCGGGUUGUAAACCGCUUUCGCCUGUGACGAAGCGUGAGUGACGGUAAUGGGCAAAGAAGCACCGGCUAACUACGU
This 467-nucleotide ribosomal RNA is filed under the name uncultured bacterium. RNAcentral's name for it is "partial 16S ribosomal RNA". It matches the Rfam family "Bacterial small subunit ribosomal RNA", at positions 28 to 506 of the family's 1533-position model. The record is from RNAcentral.